GACCACACCAACUUCUUAUACCGUCAGUGAGCACAGAACUUUAUCCAGAUAACAGCAAAAGACAGAGACAGCAUGUACCUCAGCUGGACCUCCCUUGAAUUCUUCUCUGAGCUGCCACUUCUUCCUAGUCCCCGGGCUGACCCCGGAGUCAAGCCAGAUGGGACUGAGAGAGAUGUCAAAUUUCCAGUAAGCUGACCACCGUCUGAAGAGCCACCCCACAGCCGUGAGUAUAUGGGCAGCACAGACUGGAAGCAAAGGCCUAUGGAAAAGGAAGAGGACAGCAAGGUGGGAGGGGUGGAGUGAGACUGAUCAGAGUAU
Long non-coding RNA from Mus musculus (house mouse), 318 nucleotides. RefSeq annotates it as predicted gene, 52056. NCBI's taxonomy places the organism in Eukaryota, Metazoa, Chordata, Mammalia, Rodentia, Muridae. The record is from RefSeq and is a predicted model, not a curated record. The transcript is spliced from 3 exons.